RNAcentral lists this RNase MRP RNA (265 nucleotides) under Pediculus humanus corporis (human body louse). Its description in RNAcentral is "rNase MRP". It matches the Rfam family "RNase MRP". Rfam says of the family: RNase MRP is an enzymatically active ribonucleoprotein with two distinct roles in eukaryotes. In mitochondria it plays a direct role in the initiation of mitochondrial DNA replication. Lineage: Eukaryota; Metazoa; Arthropoda; Insecta; Psocodea; Pediculidae. The record is from Rfam by way of RNAcentral.
GGAUUCUGAUAUGCCUUACUGUCUGAGUUACGUACGGUGUACGCGGUUACACACACACACGCUAAUGCUCGGUGGAAAGUCUCCGGAUCUUAUGCAGAGAGUGCAGCAGUGUCAAGCUGUCAGCCUCCAGAAUGCGAAACCAUUGACGGGACUGCUUCGGCAGGAUCUGGUUAUCGUACUGGAGGUGCUGAUCAUUCUCACAUUAAGGGAUGUUAAGGGCGCCACAUAUAAGGCGUAACAUAACGGGGCUUAUUGUAUCGGAAUU